ACAGCAGCAGCCGCGGUAACACGGAGGGUGCAAGCGUUAAUCGGAAUUACUGGGCGUAAAGCGCACGCAGGCGGUCUGACAAGUCAGAUGUGAAAUCCCCGGGCUUAACCUGGGAACUGCAUUUGAAACUGUCAGGCUGGAGUCUUGUAGAGGGGGGUAGAAUUCCAGGUGUAGCGGUGAAAUGCGUAGAGAUCUGGAGGAAUACCGGUGGCGAAGGCGGCCCCCUGGACAAAGACUGACGCUCAGGUGCGAAAGCGUGGGGAGCAAACAGGAUUAGAUACCCGAGUAGUCCCUGUCUCUUAUAC
Molecule: ribosomal RNA, 305 nt
Filed under: uncultured bacterium
Lineage: Bacteria
Description: partial 16S ribosomal RNA
Rfam family: Bacterial small subunit ribosomal RNA
Source: RNAcentral